RNAcentral lists this unclassified non-coding RNA (4079 nucleotides) under Megachile rotundata (alfalfa leafcutting bee). Its description in RNAcentral is "antho-RFamide neuropeptides type 2-like, transcript variant X1". The record is from RNAcentral. Lineage: Eukaryota; Metazoa; Arthropoda; Insecta; Hymenoptera; Megachilidae.
AUUCUUAACAUUAUGUCUGAACGCAUCUGAGUCCAUGAUUGUAUCUGAAAAAAUUUAUGUAUUCCAGAAAAUACAAGGCAAAUGGUAAUUAAAUUAUGAGAAUGGAUUAUCGAGAUGUGGAGGAAUGCGUGGAGUGAUAAGAAUGUCCUGGAGCGACGAAUUUCGCGAGAAAGAGGACGCUCAUGCCCCUGAACAUUUUCACGAUUAUAAUGGCAGAUGCAGGCUACGAAGGCCCUCCAUUUAACGUGGAGUGGUCUGACCAGUUAAUCGGUUAUUCACCGGUACACCGCGGCAUGGAAGACAAACUCGAAAGAUCGUGCCACGGCAUCUAUUCAAGUGAUCGCACAGGAGCCGGCCACGAGGACGAGCCAAGGGUGUACAGAGGGGAAGAGAAUUUAAUGAGAUAGCGAAGAGAGAAAAAUUCUGGGCGAAGGAGGAGGGUGAGUGACAGGGUCGGAGGUCAGUAGCCGAGCAAGGAUGUACGAUGCUCCUUGUCUUCUUCCUUCCUUCCUUUCGCUCAUUCUUUUUCCCUUUUCCUGUUUCAGAGUCGUCGACAUUCCUUGCCACGUUUCUCGAUCCUUUCAGGAGACGCUCUUCAGCCACCUCGCGAGAGGAACUUCGAGUGGCCACUCGAGAACAAAAGGACCAAGGGUGAGAAAAGCUCGGGCUCGACUCGUCUCUUUGCAGAAGAGCGAGUCGUUACGUGCUUUCGAAAUUCUGCACGCGAUUUCGUCGACGAGAUUUCGAAAUCCUUGAAAAGCUUGCCACGAUAACGAAAAACCAGAAAACUCAAGGAGACUGAAGUUUAACAAGAACAAGAUGAAGUUUAAUAAGGACAAGAUGAAGUUUAACAAGGACAACAUGAAGUUUAACAAAAAGGACAACAUGAAGUUUAACAAGAAGGACAACAUGAAGUUUAACAAGAAGUACAACAUGAAGUUUAACAAGAAGUACAAAAUGAAGUUUAACAAGAAGGACAACAUGAAGUUUAACAAAAAGGACAACAUGAAGUUUAACAAGGAAGACAACAUGAAGUUUAACAAGAAGUACAACAUGAAGUUUAACAAGAAGUACAACAUGAAGUUUAACAAGAAGUACAACAUGAAGUUUAACAAGAAGGACAACAUGAAGCUUAACAAAAAGGACAACAUGAAGUUUAACAAGGAAGACAACAUGAAGUUUAACAAGAAGUACAACAUGAAGUUUAACAAGAAGUACAACAUGAAGUUUAACAAGAAGUACAACAUGAAGUUUAACAAGAAGUACAAAAUGAAGUUUAACAAGAAGGACAACAUGAAGUUUUAGUACCAAUAUAAAAUAACAGCAUUGCAAAUAGAAAGCAAUGAUUCAGUCGUAUGACACAAUUAGAUGAGAGUAACACAAAAUGGCACUCACAGGAUUUAAAGCAGAAUAAGAUCGCCACAAAAGCGAAAGAAGAAUCGAUCCUAAUUGAAUUCAUAUCCAGGCACGCAGGCAACGAGGGGUCGGUUAAAAUAUUUUCGCGUCGAGGGUCCGCGAUUCCCGCGAAAAGCACGCGUGGGUGAGAUUCCCGGCGGGAGAUAGAGCCCGGUGUACAAAGAGGGUCUGCAGAAGUUUCGAGGUAGCUGGAAGAGCGAAUGGAACGCGAGGAUCCGCGGAAUGCCGACCGUCCGGCUGGCAGUAUCCUCGUCCUAUCUUCUCGCAUUAUCCUGCCGUAUCUCAGCCCGACAGCCGAACUCCUUCGUCCUUUACCGACCGGCUUCUUUCACCCAUACCCUGAAGGGCCGUCUCCCGGCAGUUUGAAGCCGGAGAAAAUUAUUGCAUUCUAAAACGAGGGACAAUGAAAUAGUUUCGUACCCUCGAUCCCUUCAAGGUAUAAUGAAUUGCUCGAUAUCGUAAUGAUAGGAAGAGUUUAAGCACUGAGAUUAUGAAGGGGCUUUAGCCUUGAAGUUAUAGCUUUUAUAAUUUUAAUCUUAAACUCAAAGUUUCAAGGUUUUGAAAUUCUCUAACAGAUAUAUUUUUGUAGGUUUGACAAGGAUUAUGAUGGUAGGAGGAUGCUAGUUGGCCUUGAAGAAUUUGCAGAUUUGAAGAUUUGUAUAUUGUUAUAACUAACCUAUAAGUUAGUCUCUAAGUCUCUAGUCUUAAGUUGAAAGUCUCUAACAAAUAUUUUUGUAGGUUUAAAUGAGCCAAUGGAAUUUGAAAGAAGAUUGACCCGUCGCGGAACCAUAAGCUGUUCCAACCACUCGAACUGGUUGAAAUUACUUUCCGUUACACGACACGGAAAUAUGAUGGAAGCAAUGCGAGCAAGAUGACACGGUGCGGUACGAUCAGGACAGAAUUUUCGCAAAUGCACAUCUCAGAAGGGCAUCAUAUUACUUUGGAUACAUCGAUCAUGUCUCGUUCGCAUCUCCAUCGAUGUCCUAAAUACAAGAAUGUGCAAAGGGAAUUUAAGGUUCGAAUAACCAGAGUAAUAAAUGAAUGUAAUUAUGUAAAAUUGGAAGCAAAGAUCAAGAAAGAAAAGAUACACGGAGGAAGAUACAAAAGUCUAAUUACCAAACGAAACAAGAAGGACAUGACAAACAAACAAAAACGAAGAAGACAAAGUAACGAAAUGAUAGUAGAAAGGAGAAGGAGAAAAGAGAGGGGUGAGCGAGUUCCAAAAACCUAAGAAGAGCAUCAUCGAUCGCAGCUGUCGCGUUCGCUCCGCACCUGCUAUUGUCCGCUCGCUUUCCAGUCCGACGACAAGUGAGAGAAAAGGAGAAAGAGAAGAGAACGACCCCUUUCCUUUCCGUAUAUGUAGCACGAAAACAUCGUGCAACGCGCGAGGUGCCGUGGCGCACGUUGCCCGCGUAAACUUCGGUCCACGUGUCGUUUCGUUUCGUUGCGUGAGGCCACCUACUCGUGUGGCUCGCUUUCGUCGAGCCUUCUCGCCUCUCUCCUUUUUCCUUUUUUGCUCCUUGUCACGCAUCUCCUUUUGCGUUAUGCAACGAUACACGCGCGACAAAUUGUUCUCCAAAAUUCGACUGUUAACAACAUUCCAAUUGCAAAGAAGAGAAGUUCUUUUUGGCAGUCAUUUGCAUCGAGCUUGGAGUUAACACAAGUGCCGCUUUGAGACUUUUUAUAAAAGGGAGUAGUAAGCCCGGAUCAAUAGAAUGAUCAGUUUGUGGCAAAAAGUAACCACCUAAGCCAAGAUAAGCCCGUCCCAGAAGACACGUCCUCGAACGACAUGAAAACCGCGAACGAAUGAGUCACUGGACUUACUUCGAUGGGGGUAGAUAUCUCGAAGGGUAAAUCGCGUACCCUUAGGAAACAACGCCAACUGUUCCCUGAAGCACUUGCGCACAUGUAACCGCGAGGGAAUUUCGAUGGACCCACGGACCCUGGGGUACUUUCUUUUUUGCACCGAGCGAAACCCCAUGAGAACCCGACCAAGUGGUGCGAUACAGACAAAACUGGGGUUCGGAUCUAUGAAAGAGUCAGAGGAAUUAACGGGGUCGAUUCGAGGGGAAACGCGUCACGAAAAGUCAUUUUCAUCGGUGUGGACCAUUUCGAAUUUGGUCCCCGUUCUCUUUUAAUCCUCUUAACUGUAUCGCGAACUGUUGUGGAGUCGGUCGUUUCUCAGCGACUUAAGCUUAAGUUUCGAGUGAGAAUUUCACAGAUGGAGGAUUUAAGGACGCACGAACGUACAUGCAAGUUCUCUUCCGUUAUGCGCAAAUGAUUUCCAGAAUCAAUAGCACGCGAUUUUACAAAUAGUUUACGUGAAUUUCACAGAUGAAGAGAUUCAGGUCUCGUUUCGCGUUUUCGAGGACAACUGUAUACACUUUAAUCUGUGCUGCAAUCUGCUCAAUAUUCCUGCCUUGAUUAUAUGCACCUGAUUUUCUGUAGCGUGCAAUAUAAACAGGAUAAAAGCUGUCCCAGUUAAUUAUCCGAGUUAAUCGCAUCAGUCGAUUGUAUAAAUUAAAUAUUACACGAGCUUAACGUUCGAAGUUCGGUGUGCAAGGGUGUUUGCAUAUUCAUCGCUUUACAUUUUUUUCCCUCUUGCAAUAAACCUCGACAUCAUUUAGUGUUAUCGAUAAACUAGUAUGUAAUCGCGUGAACAA